AUUGGUCCAAAUCUAAGCUCUAAAGAGACUUUCAGCAUUUCAAUUUUAGCGCCAUUAUAUCUUCCAGUUUCUUGUAGCACUAGUGCUAAGAUAAGGUUCAAAAAAGAAAAAAUAAAAAACACAGCAAAACGACAUCAUCUCGCACGAAACCCUUCUCUAAGCGCACUCUCGACCCUUUCUCCCAAGCUGAGGCUUCUUCUCUCUGAACAUUCGACAAACAUCUCUGUUUCACUAUUUCCUCUGAACUUCCAGGAAACUGACGCCCCUUCUUGACUAGCACUCGCAGAUCCAAUCUCUGUUUCACUUUUCUGCAAAUUAAUUAACUUCUUUCUGUGGCUGAGGUGAACUCUGUUCAGAUCUACGUUUCCCUCUAUAUUCUGCUGCUGGUUGUAGAUGCUGUACAAGCAGUAAAGAUGAACAGUGCACGAGGGGAAGUGAAGUACCCGAUCAGGUUAGUGUGUCUUGACCAUCUGUAGCUGGUUACUGAUGAUCUCUAUCACUCUCAUUAAUGAGUGUGGUGUUAAGAACUACUUUGCUUUUAUUCAAUAAAGCAAGCAGAUAAAUUACAAACACAUUAAAAUUGAAGACUCUCUCGUUGAUGAAUUGAAGUGUUAAGAGCUUCCUCAGAUGAGCUCCUUCCCAAUCAAUCGUCCAUGAUGCGAUCAUUGUGGCCUCCGUUUGGUGCACCUGCAGCCUCUUUCUGUUUUUUUCUUUUUUAUAACAAUGAUACCAUAAAUGCAUUCACAUUAGUGAUCCUUUACUAUCGAAUUGAUGACAUGAUCAGGCUUGUCAAAGAUGAAAGCCAAAAUGAUGAGGAAUAGGGUCAGUAUAUUUGAAGAUGCGCUGGGAUCUUCCAUUCUGUUAUUUCUGUCAUUAGUCUCUGGUAGUGCGAGUUGGGGUUUGUGGAGGGCGUAUUCUUGCCUAUGUUGUUGCAUUGAAGAGUAUUUUUGAGUUUGAUUAUUUAAAUGCAAUGAUGAGCUUUCUU
Manihot esculenta (cassava) is the source of this 985-nucleotide long non-coding RNA. RefSeq lists it as uncharacterized. The record is from RefSeq and is a predicted model, not a curated record. NCBI's taxonomy places the organism in Eukaryota, Viridiplantae, Streptophyta, Magnoliopsida, Malpighiales, Euphorbiaceae. The transcript has 2 exons.